Molecule: ribosomal RNA, 332 nt
Filed under: uncultured bacterium
Lineage: Bacteria
Description: bacterial SSU rRNA
Rfam family: Bacterial small subunit ribosomal RNA
Source: RNAcentral
CGCGUAGGCGGGAUGGCAAGUCGGUCGUGAAAUCCUUCGGCUCAACCGAAGAACGUCGAUCGAUACUGCUGUUCUUGAGGAUUGCAGAGGAGACUGGAAUUCCCGGUGUAGCGGUGAAAUGUGUAGAGAUCGGGAGGAACACCGGUGGCGAAGGCGGGUCUCUGGGCAAUUCCUGACGCUGAGGCGCGAAAGCGUGGGGAGCAAACGGGAUUAGAUACCCCGGUAGUCCACGCUGUAAACGAUGACGACUAGGUGUGGGGGGGUUCAGUCCCCUCCGUGCCGCAGCUAACGCAUUAAGUCGUCCGCCUGGGGAGUACGGCCGCAAGGUUGAA